AUUGAACGCUGGCGGCAUGCCUUACACAUGCAAGUCGAACGGCAGCACGGGGCAACCUGGUGGCGAGUGGCGAACGGGUGAGUAAUGCAUCGGAACGUGCCAUUGAGUGGGGGAUAACGUAGCGAAAGUUGCGCUAAUACCGCAUAUUCUGUGAGCAGGAAAGCAGGGACCGCAAGGCCUUGCGCUCUUUGAGCGGCCGAUGUCAGAUUAGCUAGUUGGUGAGGUAACGGCUUACCAAGGCGACGAUCUGUAGCGGGUCUGAGAGGAUGAUCCGCCACACUGGAACUGAGACACGGUCCAGACUCCUACGGGAGGCAGCAGUGGGGAAUUUUGGACAAUGGGCGCAAGCCUGAUCCAGCCAUGCCGCGUGAGUGAAGAAGGCC
Molecule: ribosomal RNA, 383 nt
Filed under: uncultured bacterium
Lineage: Bacteria
Description: bacterial SSU rRNA
Rfam family: Bacterial small subunit ribosomal RNA
Source: RNAcentral